ACGUUAGCGGCGGACGGGUGAGUAACGCGUGGGUAACCUACCUAUAAGACUGGGAUAACUCCGGGAAACCGGGGCUAAUACCGGAUAAUACAUGAAACCGCAUGGUUUCAUGAUGAAAGACGGUUUUGCUGUCACUUAUAGAUGGACCCGCGGCGUAUUAGCUAGUUGGUAAGGUAACGGCUUACCAAGGCAACGAUACGUAGCCGACCUGAGAGGGUGAUCGGCCACACUGGAACUGAGACACGGUCCAG
Molecule: ribosomal RNA, 251 nt
Filed under: uncultured Staphylococcus sp.
Lineage: Bacteria; Bacillati; Bacillota; Bacilli; Caryophanales; Staphylococcaceae
Description: partial 16S ribosomal RNA
Rfam family: Bacterial small subunit ribosomal RNA
Source: RNAcentral